RNA transcript from Aethalodelphis obliquidens (Pacific white-sided dolphin), 993 nucleotides. It is a transcript of the gene named ras-related C3 botulinum toxin substrate 1 pseudogene, with no coding region annotated. The record is from RefSeq and is a predicted model, not a curated record. NCBI's taxonomy places the organism in Eukaryota, Metazoa, Chordata, Mammalia, Artiodactyla, Delphinidae. The transcript has 2 exons.
AUGACUUGUGAUCAAAGACUAUGUGGAUAUGUGAGAAAGAGCUCUCCAAGAAGAUGGAACAACAAGGACCAAGAUCCUGAAUUUUCCCCAGCUUUGGGUGGUGGCUGCUGCUGGGCUCCGGCUUCCCAACGGCGGAGGGCAAGGCGGCGUGGACAGCGGCCCCGGCACCCCUCGCCCCGCCGCCCGCAGCCGCGCGCCCGCCCGCCCGCCGCGCCCCGAGCUCUCCGCUCUUCGCCUCAGUGCCCGGCUGCCGCCGCUGCGGCCCAGAAAGCAGCCCAGAUGCAGGCCAUCAAGUGUGCGGUGGUGGGAGACGGAGCUGUAGGUAAAACUUGCCUCCUGAUCAGUUAUACGACCAAUGCCUUUCCUGGAGAGUAUAUCCCCACUGUCUUUGACAACUAUUCUGCCAAUGUUAUGGUGGAUGGAAAACCGGUGAAUCUGGGCUUGUGGGAUACAGCUGGACAAGAAGAUUAUGACCGAUUACGUCCCCUAUCCUAUCCGCAAACGGAUGUAUUCUUGAUUUGCUUUUCUCUUGUGAGUCCUGCAUCAUUUGAAAAUGUUCAUGCAAAGUGGUACCCUGAAAUGCGACACCACUGUCCCAACACUCCUAUCAUUCUGGUGGGGACGAAACUUGAUCUGAGGGAUGAUAAAGACACGACUGAGAAACUGAAGGAGAAGAAGCUGACACCCAUCACCUACCCGCAGGGCUUGGCCAUGGCCAAGGAGAUCGGUGCCGUCAAAUACCUGGAGUGCUCGGCACUCACGCAGCGAGGUCUUAAGACGGUGUUUGAUGAAGCUAUCCGGGCGGUUCUCUGCCCGCCCCCCGUCAAGAAGAGGAAGAGAAAAUGCCUGCUGUUGUGAAUGUCCGGGCCCCUCCCGCCUGUCCCCGUCCCCCAGGACCCUUUGUACGCUUUGCUCAAACGGUGGAGCCUUCGCACUCAAUGCCAAGUUUUUGUUACAGAUUAGUUUUUCCAUAAAACCGUUUUGAACCAAUCA